Molecule: ribosomal RNA, 635 nt
Filed under: uncultured bacterium
Lineage: Bacteria
Description: bacterial SSU rRNA
Rfam family: Bacterial small subunit ribosomal RNA
Source: RNAcentral
AGAGUUUGAUCCUGGCUCAGAACGAACGCUGGCGGCAGGCCUAACACAUGCAAGUCGAGCGCCCGCGAGGGAGCGGCAGACGGGUGAGUAACGCGUGGGAACGUGCCCUUUGGUUCGGAAUAUUCCCGGGAAACUGGGAGCAAAACCGGAUAAGCCCUUCGGGGGAAAGUUUACGCCAAAGGAUCGGCCCGCGUUAGAUUAGGUAGUUGGUGGGGUAACGGCCUACCAAGCCUACGAUCUAUAGCUGAUCUGAGAGGAUGAUCAGCCACACUGGGACUGAGACACGGCCCAGACUCCUACGGGAGGCAGCAGUGGGGAAUCUUGGACAAUGGGCGCAAGCCUGAUCCAGCCAUGCCGCGUGGAUGACUGAAGGCCCUAGGGUUGUAAAGUCCUUUCGACGGGGACGAUAAUGACGGUACCCGUAGAAGAAGCCCCGGCUAACUUCGUGCCAGCAGCCGCGGUAAUACGAAGGGGGCUAGCGUUGUUCGGAUUUACUGGGCGUAAAGGGCGCGUAGGCGGAUUUUUAAGUCGGGGGUGAAAUCCCGGAGCUCAACUCCGGAACUGCCUUCGAUACUGAAAGUCUGGAGCACGGUAGAGGUGAGUGGAAUUCCGAGUGUAGCGGUGAAAUGCGUAGA